Molecule: ribosomal RNA, 624 nt
Filed under: Enterobacter hormaechei subsp. xiangfangensis
Lineage: Bacteria; Pseudomonadati; Pseudomonadota; Gammaproteobacteria; Enterobacterales; Enterobacteriaceae
Description: bacterial SSU rRNA
Rfam family: Bacterial small subunit ribosomal RNA
Source: RNAcentral
AGUCGCCCGCCUGGGGAGUACGGCCGCAAGGUUAAAACUCAAAUGAAUUGACGGGGGCCCGCACAAGCGGUGGAGCAUGUGGUUUAAUUCGAUGCAACGCGAAGAACCUUACCUACUCUUGACAUCCAGAGAACUUAGCAGAGAUGCUUUGGUGCCUUCGGGAACUCUGAGACAGGUGCUGCAUGGCUGUCGUCAGCUCGUGUUGUGAAAUGUUGGGUUAAGUCCCGCAACGAGCGCAACCCUUAUCCUUUGUUGCCAGCGGUUAGGCCGGGAACUCAAAGGAGACUGCCAGUGAUAAACUGGAGGAAGGUGGGGAUGACGUCAAGUCAUCAUGGCCCUUAGGAGUAGGGCUACACACGUGCUGCAAUGGCGCAUUCAAAGAGAAUCGACCUCGCGAGAGCAAGCGGACCUCAUAAAGUGCGUUGUAGUCCGGAUUGGAGUCUGCAACUCGACUCCAUGAAGUCGGAAUCGCUAGUAAUCGUGGAUCAGAACGCCACGGUGAAUACGUUCCCGGCCCUUGUACACCCCGCCCGUCACACCAUGGGAGUGGGUUGCAAAAGAAGUAGGUAGCUUAACCUUCGGGAGGCCGCUUCCCACUUUGAGAUUCAGGCCUGCGGGAAGUCG